UCUAUGCCCAGCUGGCCUCGUACAACCGUACCUGCGCGCAGACAAACAAACAACACCAACAGAGCAACAACCAGCAACGAAAAAGAAAAAGAAAAUAGAAAACGAAAACAUGGCAAUAACAGAUUUUUUUAUUGUUAUUUAUUUUGGUAAUCUUGGCUAUAAAAAGCCAAUAUAAGCGCUGUAAACGGACUUUUUUUUCUACACACAUAUGGAAUACAAAAAAGAAAUCAAAAUUGAAAUGAGGUGAUUUGAUUUUCUUUCUUCUUUUUUUCUGCAUCUUUAGUUUUUUUGUUUCAAUUUUUCUUUUCUGUUCUUCCAUUUUUAAUCAUAUACAUAUACAUAUAUAUAAAAAAAAGAGUUAAAGGAGGAGUCGUUACCUGGCUUUACUCGCUCCGUCGCCAUCGGAGAUUGGGCAAAGAUCGGAGGCCCUAGAGCGGCCUGGUUGUGGCGGCGGCCUGGGGAACUGGGUUCAAAACCCUAGCAGAGGAGAAAAAGGGGCGGUCUCCCUCUGGCCUGGACUUGGGGCUGAAACAUUUUGUUUCAGAUUUUGGGGUGCUUAAGUAGAUGUAUAAAACGACGCCGUUUGAGGCUGGUUUUGAUAGCUUCAAAACGGCACUGUUGGCCGUUCAGUGACCAUGACCCGCGCGGACCUGACCCGGGGAAGGAUCCGCGUGUUUUUGCCUCAGUGGGAUAUUUGCGCAAAUGGUCCUCCUGCUACUAUAGCAUAUUCGAAUCAACCCUUUUAUUUCUUUUAAAUUUGGCCAGACAUUUUAUUUUUGUUUCAUUUUAGUCCAGUUUGGACGCUGCGUUUCGAGGGUGCAGAAUUAUUUCCCUUUUGGUCCCUCAUAUUACGCGCGUGUUACCAUUCGACCCUCUAACUCUACCUAAUUUUGUUUUCUUCCCUUUAACUUUUGUUUUGACUUCAAUUUAGUUUUUAUUAGUUUAAUAUGCGCAAUCUUCUUUAAAUUUCAUUUAAAUACUUAUGGUCACAUUAUUUUCUUUACAUGUUUAAUUCUUUUUUAAAUUAUAUAUCAUUUUAAUAGCGCAC
This 1048-nucleotide long non-coding RNA is filed under the name Gossypium barbadense (sea-island cotton). RNAcentral describes it as "long non-coding RNA (GBAR_LNC022368)". The record is from RNAcentral. Lineage: Eukaryota; Viridiplantae; Streptophyta; Magnoliopsida; Malvales; Malvaceae.